Molecule: ribosomal RNA, 301 nt
Filed under: uncultured bacterium
Lineage: Bacteria
Description: partial 16S ribosomal RNA
Rfam family: Bacterial small subunit ribosomal RNA
Source: RNAcentral
CAGCAGCCGCGGUAAUACGGAGGGCGCGAGCGUUACCCGGAUUUACUGGGCGUAAAGGGCGCGUAGGCGGCCUGGGGCGUCCCAUGUGAAAGGCCACGGCUCAACCGUGGAGGAGCGUGGGAUACGCUCAGGCUAGAGGGUGGGAGAGGGUGGUGGAAUUCCCGGAGUAGCGGUGAAAUGCGCAGAUACCGGGAGGAACGCCGAUGGCGAAGGCAGCCACCUGGUCCACUUCUGACGCUGAGGCGCGAAAGCGUGGGGAGCAAACCGGAUUAGAUACCCCGGUAGUCCCUGUCUCUUAUAC